UACGUAGGGUGCAAGCGUUGUCCGGAAUUAUUGGGCGUAAAGAGCUCGUAGGUGGCGGGUCACGUCGGGUGUGAAAGCCCGGGGCUUAACCCCGGGUCUGCAUUCGAUACGGGUCUGCUGGGGUCCGGCAGGGGAGACUGGAAUUCCUGGUGUAGCGGUGAAAUGCGCAGAUAUCAGGAGGAACACCAAUUGCGAAGGCAGCUCGCUGGGACGUUACUGACGCUGAGACGCGAAAGCGUGGGGAGCAAACAGG
This 253-nucleotide ribosomal RNA is filed under the name uncultured bacterium. RNAcentral describes it as "partial 16S ribosomal RNA". It matches the Rfam family "Bacterial small subunit ribosomal RNA", at positions 524 to 776 of the family's 1533-position model. The record is from RNAcentral.